GUUGGCAAACCAAGAUGGAGGCCGGCAGCAGGGAGGGAUUUCUCACUUCAGAAAGUCUUUCCAAGUGUCUCUUCCCCUCCUUUUCCGCCUAUCUAGCCUCCUCCUGCUUUCCACCUUCCUUUUCCUCCCUCCCCCCUCAUUUCCUGAUGAAAACUAGAGGUCAAAGAUCACGUUAGUGGAUGAAAAGAGAAUGCAAAUGAGAGAAGCUGAUCGUGAUAGCAGGGUGUCACAUGUCACACACAGUGUGUGCAAGAGGCCUAGAAGAAGGAACACUGGCUUUGCCACACAGACUAGUGGUGGUGUCCUCGUUUGCUUUUAGGCUGCUGGGAUAUCGUACAGUUCACACGUGCCCAGGGAGAGCCAAAGCGAACCGCUUCUGGGAGACUCCAUCUCCAUCUGUUUGCAAACCAAGCCUGGUCUGCCCAUCAGCAGACAUCUGGCGUGGGGACCACGGCACGCCUUCCUCGUGGAGCCUCAUUCUGGGACGGGGGCCGAGCUGUGCUCUGUCAGAACUCAUCUGAAGACG
Molecule: non-coding RNA, 526 nt
Organism: Microcebus murinus (gray mouse lemur)
Lineage: Eukaryota; Metazoa; Chordata; Mammalia; Primates; Cheirogaleidae
Source: RefSeq, a predicted model, not a curated record